CAGCAGCCACGGUAAUACGAAGGGGGCUAGCGUUGCUCGGAAUGACUGGGCGUAAAGGGCGCGUAGGCGGAUGGCACAGUCAGAUGUGAAAUUCCCGGGCUUAACCUGGGGGCUGCAUUUGAUACGUGUUGUCUAGAGUGAGGAAGAGGGUCGUGGAAUUCCCAGUGUAGAGGUGAAAUUCGUAGAUAUUGGGAAGAACACCGGUGGCGAAGGCGGCGACCUGGUCCUUUACUGACGCUGAGGCGCGAAAGCGUGAGGAGCAAACAGGAUUAGAUACCCCCGUAGUCCCUGUCUCUUAUAC
This 301-nucleotide ribosomal RNA is filed under the name uncultured bacterium. RNAcentral's name for it is "partial 16S ribosomal RNA". It matches the Rfam family "Bacterial small subunit ribosomal RNA", at positions 509 to 807 of the family's 1533-position model. The record is from RNAcentral.